Molecule: ribosomal RNA, 253 nt
Filed under: uncultured bacterium
Lineage: Bacteria
Description: partial 16S ribosomal RNA
Rfam family: Bacterial small subunit ribosomal RNA
Source: RNAcentral
UACGUAGGGGGCAAGCGUUGUCCGGAAUCAUUGGGCGUAAAGAGCGUGUAGGCGGCUCGGUAAGUCCGCUGUGAAAGUCCAGGGCUCAACCCUGGAAUGCCGGUGGAAACUGUCGAGCUAGAGUCCGGAAGAGGCAAGUGGAAUUCCUGGUGUAGCGGUGGAAUGCGCAGAUAUCGGGAGGAACACCAAUGGCGAAGGCAGCUCGCUGGGACGUGACUGACGCUGAGACGCGAAAGCGUGGGGAGCAAACAGG